Vicia faba (fava bean) is the source of this 228-nucleotide non-coding RNA. NCBI's taxonomy places the organism in Eukaryota, Viridiplantae, Streptophyta, Magnoliopsida, Fabales, Fabaceae. The record is from the annotation of a GenBank genome assembly.
AUGAGAAGUUUAGAGAUAACUCAGGGCCAGGUUUUGGCGUGUAUGGCUGGUUUUGUGAUGCUGAUUAGUUUUGGACUGUUUGGUGUCUGUGUUGGGUUAGUAAUAUUGUUUCUGAUUUUCCGUUUAGAGCUGAUGCCAUCUGUUUUCUACAUGUAUAGGAUUUUGGUUUGUAGUAGCAUAUUUGAGAAUUGUUUGGACUACAGGACAACGGGGCAGCUAAUAGAAUGA